GACGAACGCUGGCGGCGUGCCUAAUACAUGCAAGUCGAACGCAGUGGGGACGGGUGAGUAACACGUGGGUAACCUCCCAUCAAAGGGGAUAACACUUGGAAACAGGUGCUAAACCGAUACUGAUGGAUGAACCCGCGGUGCAUUAGCUAGUUGGUGGGGUAACGGCUCACCAAGGCCACGAUGCAUACCUGGUCGUAGAGGGGGACGGGCCACACUGUGACUGAGACACGUCCCAGCCUCCUACGGGAGGCAGCAGUAGGGAAUAUGCGGCAAUGGGCGAAAGACUGAUGCAGCCAUGCCGCGUGAAUGAAGAAUGUUUUCGGGUCGUAAAGCUCUUUCAGCAGGGAAGCGUUAUCUACCGAAAAAGCUACGGCUAACUACGUGCCAGCAGCCGCGGUAAUUC
RNAcentral lists this ribosomal RNA (403 nucleotides) under uncultured bacterium. Its description in RNAcentral is "partial 16S ribosomal RNA". It matches the Rfam family "Bacterial small subunit ribosomal RNA", at positions 28 to 526 of the family's 1533-position model. The record is from RNAcentral.